This 290-nucleotide unclassified non-coding RNA is filed under the name fungal sp. RNAcentral's name for it is "partial internal transcribed spacer region". The stretch from base 1 to 46 matches the Rfam family "Eukaryotic small subunit ribosomal RNA", at positions 1786 to 1831 of the family's 1831-position model. The record is from RNAcentral. Lineage: Eukaryota; Fungi.
AAGUCGUAACAAGGUUUCCGUAGGUGAACCUGCGGAAGGAUCAUUGAUGAAUUCAAGGCGGUGUCGGAUUGUGCUGGCCCCUCGGGGCAUGUGCACGUCUCGCACCGUCUAUCACACACACACCCGUGCACACUUUGAGGGUAUGAGCUUGUCCGUAGGACUUGCCGGCGACAGUCGGCUCUUCCGUGGGGCAUGCGAGUCCUUCUAACUUUUCAUAUACACCUUGUACAUGUCUUGCAUGUCUUAUGAUUUAACCAAUACAACUUUCAACAACGGAUCUCUUGGCUCUC